Molecule: unclassified non-coding RNA, 1644 nt
Filed under: Hevea brasiliensis (rubber tree)
Lineage: Eukaryota; Viridiplantae; Streptophyta; Magnoliopsida; Malpighiales; Euphorbiaceae
Source: RNAcentral
GCUGUGGUUUGAUAGGGGAAGCUGUUAAAGUGUAUGAGGAUCUUGAGCUUUGGGAUAACUUAAUAUACUGUUAUAGGCUAAUGGAGAAGAAAGCGGCAGCAGUUGAACUUAUCCAAGCUCGGUUAUCUGAAAGACCUUGUGACCCUAGGUUAUGGUGUUCCCUUGGAGAUGUUACAAGUGAUGAUAAAUGCUAUGAGAAAGCCCUAGAAGUGUCUGGGAAUAAGUCAGCUCGAGCACAGCGUGCCCUUGCCCGUAGUGCAUACAACAGGGGGGAGUACGAGAAGUCAAAAGAUCUAUGGGAAUCUGCAAUGGCAAUGAAUUCUAUGUAUCCAGAUGGAUGGUUUGCACUUGGUGCUGCUGCUUUAAAGGCUAGAGAUGUUGAGAAGGCACUGGAUGGCUUCACCCGUGCUGUUCAGCUUGAUCCUGAAAAUGGAGAGGCUUGGAAUAAUAUUGCUUGCCUGCAUAUGGUUAAGAAGAAAAACAAGGAAGCUUUUAUUGCAUUCAAGGAAGCAUUGAAGCUGAAGCGAGACAGCUGGCAGAUGUGGGAAAAUUUUAGCCGUGUUGCUGCAGAUAUUGGAAAUUUCAGUCAGGCACUGGAAGCAGUACAAAAGGUAUUGGAUAUGACGAAAAAGAAGCGAAUCGAUGUCGAAUUACUGGAGAGGAUGUUGCAAGAGUUGGAAUUACGGACUGCAACUAGCCAUUCUGAAUGCGAUGCUUUGAGGGGUAGCAGUGACUCUUCCGAGGCGGGCUCCGACAUCAUUAGUGUUGAUCCAUUGACCAGCUCGGACAAAGAUCUGGCAAUAGAACGGGAAACUGAGCACUUGAUUCAGUCAGUGGGUAAAAUCUUACGGCAGAUUGUUCAAACUGGUGGGAAUGCUGAGAUUUGGGGGCUCUAUGCGAGGUGGCAUAAACUCAAAGGAGAUCUUGCGAUGUGUUCAGAGGCUUUUCUUAAGCAAGUCCGAUCAUACCAGGGAUCUGACCUAUGGAAGGAUAAAGACCGGUUUUCAAAGUUUGCACAUGCCUCGUUGGAACUCUGCAAGGUUUACCAGGAAAUAGCUCGGCGUAAUGGUAGCCGUAGGGAGUUGUCUGCCGCCGAGAUGCACUUAAAAAACACAAUCAAGCAGGCCGAGGCUUUCUCCAACACCAAAGAGUAUCAAGAUAUCUUGGCAUGCCUUGAUGAGGUGAAGGCAGCACAAGCUACACCCUGAUCAUAUGCUUUCUUCCUGAGUCAUUUAUUCAAAAGGCGAAAUCGACAACUCCUGGACAGACAUAUCGGCUAAUACGACAUUUUUCUCUGCGCAAGAUAAAUGAAUAGCUCUUGUUUUCAGGGGAAAAAAGAAGGUCCUCUCUAUUUCAUUCCAAACUUAUGAACCUACAGUUUUUCAGUUUCCAGGGCAAAAUUAAUGUUAUGUACUUAAAAAAGGACAUACAAUUGUAACCCUCUUGAUCAAGUAUGCCGUGAAGAAAUUCAACGUCCAAACGUUGAGACCUAUGCAUCCUUUGAUUCAUGAGGGGAAGAUCUGUAGACUGUAGUAUAUUAUAUAUAUGUCAAUGUCUCAUUCUGGAUAAGUGGUUUUGCUAGUUCAUUGUAAUUUAGGUUGGUCAAUGUCAUAAAUAAUUUAUAGAUCUAUCUCCUUUAUUUUU